GCCUAUAUAUAAAGAGAAAGGCAUCCGUUCGGAGAGACCGAGCAUGGAGAGGCAGGCCAAGAGAAAUUUCGGAUCUUAAGUGGCAGAGUUCUGCUUCAUGAUCUCCUUCUUCCCUUCUCUUCUCUUCUCUUCCCUUGUCUCCUUUCCUAAUCCUUUCACCUUCUUCCACAAAAACCUCUCUUCUCUUCUUAAUCUUCCACAAUCUGCCUUCAUCAUAGCAGACAUCUUCACGAGG
Molecule: long non-coding RNA, 235 nt
Filed under: Elaeis guineensis (African oil palm)
Lineage: Eukaryota; Viridiplantae; Streptophyta; Magnoliopsida; Arecales; Arecaceae
Description: long non-coding RNA (EGUI_LNC033716)
Source: RNAcentral